This 652-nucleotide long non-coding RNA is filed under the name Olea europaea subsp. europaea. Lineage: Eukaryota; Viridiplantae; Streptophyta; Magnoliopsida; Lamiales; Oleaceae. The record is from RNAcentral.
UUUUUGGAGAGACACCAAGGCAGAAAAAAUUCCCUUUCUCUUUAUUUUUAAGAACCAUUCAUCAACCUCCAUGUAAUCCAUUGAUUCUCUCAUGUACGUACUCAAACCUAGGGCUUUCUAUUUUCAUGCAUUUGACUUCAUUCCUUUAGAAUUUUUGGCUUCAACUUGAGCAUUUUGAGAACUUUUAGUACUCUUAAUCACAAAAUUCGAGUUAGGCAGCUAGGCAUUCUAGGAAUUUGAACUCCCAAUGCGCUCAAGCUAAGGAUUAUGAACAGGUUGUGGUGAUUGUAACCGUAAAUUGGUGGUAAACUGUGCACAAAAUCAGCUUUGAAGAUGAAGAAAAUAAUGUCCCUAAAGGUGAUGUCGAGGGAUUGGUGUGAAGCUUCGCCAUCAGAGAAAGUUGGUCAAAGCUCAUCAGUUCGAUUCAGGGAGAUGCAGGCGGGGUUGGUGUAGCGAUAUAAUUUAUUUAAGUUGAAGGAGAAUACAUGGAAUUGGGACCUCAAUUUUGAGGAUUUCUUUGGAUUCGAUGGAUCUCAAUCUCUGUUUCAUAGCGUUGAUGAGGAAGGGUUUAGGAAAAUUGAAGAUUUGGUGGAAAUGAAUGUCGGGUUCAAUGAACGUACGGAGGUGGCGCCGAUUGGUUUCUAGGGUUUGG